AUGUCCUUUUGAUUUUAAUUUAAGGUUUAAUCUGCUCAAUGAUAUAUUUAAAUUGCCGCGGUAUUUUAACUGUGCUAAGGUAGCAUAAUCAUUAGUUUUUUUAUUGGAAGCUGGAAUGAAUGAUUGAACGAGAGGACUACUGUCUCUUUAAUAAUUAUUAUUUAAUUUAACUUUUAAGUGAAAAGGCUUAAAUUUUGUUCGAAGACGAGAAGACCCUAUAGAUUUUUAUUAUUUUUUAAUUAAUUUUAGUUUUUAGUAUUUAUGUUAUUGUUUAUUUAGUAAUUUGGUUGGGGUGACUAUAAGAUUAAAUUAACUCUUUAAAUUUUAAGUCAUUGAUUUAUGAAUAGUUAAGUCUUUAUUUUUAAUUUUAAAUUAAAUUACCUUAGGGAUAACAGCGUAAUUUUUACUUAAAGUUCUUAUUUAAUUAAAUGAUUGCGACCUCGAUGUUGGAUUAAAAUUUAUUUUAGGUGUAGAAGCUUAAUUAUUAAGUCUGUUCGACUUUUAAAAUUUUACAUGAUCUGAGU
This 524-nucleotide ribosomal RNA is filed under the name Thilmanus obscurus. Its description in RNAcentral is "partial 16S ribosomal RNA". The stretch from base 388 to 524 matches the Rfam family "Bacterial large subunit ribosomal RNA", at positions 2473 to 2610 of the family's 2925-position model. Lineage: Eukaryota; Metazoa; Arthropoda; Insecta; Coleoptera; Omalisidae. The record is from RNAcentral.